Phrynosoma platyrhinos (Desert horned lizard) is the source of this 72-nucleotide non-coding RNA. NCBI's taxonomy places the organism in Eukaryota, Metazoa, Chordata, Lepidosauria, Squamata, Phrynosomatidae. The record is from the annotation of a GenBank genome assembly.
GCCAGUGUGGUGCAGUGGUUUGAAUGCUAGACUAUGAUUCUGGAGACUAGGGUUCGAUUCUCAACUCAGCCA